This 253-nucleotide ribosomal RNA is filed under the name Segatella copri DSM 18205. Its description in RNAcentral is "Prevotella copri DSM 18205 partial 16S ribosomal RNA". It matches the Rfam family "Bacterial small subunit ribosomal RNA", at positions 524 to 776 of the family's 1533-position model. The record is from RNAcentral. Lineage: Bacteria; Pseudomonadati; Bacteroidota; Bacteroidia; Bacteroidales; Prevotellaceae.
UACGGAAGGUCCGGGCGUUAUCCGGAUUUAUUGGGUUUAAAGGGAGCGUAGGCCGGAGAUUAAGCGUGUUGUGAAAUGUAGAUGCUCAACCUCUGCACUGCAGCGCGAACUGGUUUCCUUGAGUACGCACAAAGUGGGCGGAAUUCGUGGUGUAGCGGUGAAAUGCUUAGAUAUCACGAAGAACUCCGAUUGCGAAGGCAGCUCACUGGAGCGCAACUGACGCUGAAGCUCGAAAGUGCGGGUAUCGAACAGG